Molecule: long non-coding RNA, 301 nt
Filed under: Citrus x clementina
Lineage: Eukaryota; Viridiplantae; Streptophyta; Magnoliopsida; Sapindales; Rutaceae
Description: Citrus clementina (C. clementina) long non-coding RNA (CCLE_LNC004152)
Source: RNAcentral
CGUCCGGUGGUCGGUAGCUCUACUAAGCGAAUAACCGCUCGCUGCUUUUUCUUCGCGAAUAACAUGUGCGGGUAGCCUAGGAAAAGAGAAGCAAGCUACCUUCGCCUACCUCCCCGCCGCUCAUGACAAGCAAGCAGCAUACUAGGUUUCAUUAUUAUAUAGGACUUCUUUUGUGCUACCACGCCUCUCUUGACCUCUGCUUGCAUCUCGAGAAAGUAUAAGGGUCACCGAAAGUGAGGGAAGAGAUAUCCAAUUUGAUAUCUUAUGAUAUAUUGAGGAUGCUGCAAUAGUUUGGUUUCAC